CCUACGGGAGGCAGCAGUGAGGAAUAUUGGUCAAUGGGCGAGAGCCUGAACCAGCCAAGUAGCGUGAAGGAAGACGGUCCUAAGUGUUGUAAACCUCUUUUACCAGGGAACAAAGGCGGCCACGGGUGGCCUUAAGAGUGUACCUGAAGAAAAAGCAUCGGCUAACUCCGUGCCAGCAGCCGCGGUAAUACGGAGGAUGCGAGCGUUAUCCGGAUUUAUUGGGUUUAAAGGGUGCGCAGGCGGCGUGUCAAGUCAGCGGUAAAAUGUCGGGGCUCAACCCCGGCCGGCCGUUGAAACUGGCGUGCUUGAGUUGGAGAGAAGUAGGCGGAAUUCGUGGUGUAGCGGUGAAAUGCAUAGAUAUCACGAAGAACCCCGAUUGCGAAGGCAGUAUACCGGCCUCACACUGACGCUGAGGCACGAAAGUGUGGGUAUCGAACAGGAUUAGAUACCCUUGUAGUC
Molecule: ribosomal RNA, 459 nt
Filed under: uncultured bacterium
Lineage: Bacteria
Description: partial 16S ribosomal RNA
Rfam family: Bacterial small subunit ribosomal RNA
Source: RNAcentral